Molecule: ribosomal RNA, 465 nt
Filed under: uncultured bacterium
Lineage: Bacteria
Description: partial 16S ribosomal RNA
Rfam family: Bacterial small subunit ribosomal RNA
Source: RNAcentral
CCUACGGGAGGCAGCAGUUUGUAAUAUUUCUCAAUUUUCUACAUCCUUCCUCAGCGACGCCGCGUGAGGGAUGAAGGUCUUCGGAUCGUAAACCUCUGUCAGCAGGGAAGAACGGUCACUGUGCUAAUCAGCAGUGAAUUGACGGUACCUGCAAAGGAAGCACCGGCUAACUCCGUGCCAGCAGCCGCGGUAAUACGGAGGGUGCGAGCGUUAAUCGGAAUUACUGGGCGUAAAGCGCUCGUAGGCGGUAUGUCAAGUCAAGGGUGAAAUCCCCGCGCUCAACGUGGGAACUGCCUUUGAAACUGGCAAACUGGAGUGUGUGAGAGGAUAGUGGAAUUCCAGGUGUAGGAGUGAAAUCCGUAGAUAUCUGGAGGAACAUCAGUGGCGAAGGCGACUAUCUGGCACAUAACUGACGCUGAGGAGCGAAAGCGUGGGUAGCAAACAGGAUUAGAUACCCUAGUAGUC